UGAACGCUGGCGGCGUGCCUAAUACAUGCACGUCGAGCGAACAGAUGCGGAGCUUGCUCCUCUGACGUUAGCGGCGGACGGGUGAGUAACACGUGGAUAACCUACCUAUAAGACUGGGAUAACUUCGGGAAACCGGAGCUAAUACCGGAUAAUAUAUUGAACCGCAUGGUUCAAUAGUGAAAGACGGUUUUGCUGUCACUUAUAGAUGGAUCCGCGCCGCAUUAGCUAGUUGGUAAGGUAACGGCUUACCAAGGCAACGAUGCGUAGCCGACCUGAGAGGGUGAUCGGCCACACUGGAACUGAGACACGGUCCAGACUCCUACGGGAGGCAGCAGUAGGGAAUCUUCCGCAAUGGGCGAAAGCCUGACGGAGCAACGCCGCGUGAGUGAUGAAGGUCUUCGGAUCGUAAAACUCUGUUAUUAGGGAAGAACAAAUGUGUAAGUAACUAUGCACGUCUUGACGGUACCUAAUCAGAAAGCCACGGCUAACUACGUG
Molecule: ribosomal RNA, 495 nt
Filed under: uncultured bacterium
Lineage: Bacteria
Description: partial 16S ribosomal RNA
Rfam family: Bacterial small subunit ribosomal RNA
Source: RNAcentral